Molecule: long non-coding RNA, 1432 nt
Organism: Dama dama (fallow deer)
Lineage: Eukaryota; Metazoa; Chordata; Mammalia; Artiodactyla; Cervidae
Exons: 3
Source: RefSeq, a predicted model, not a curated record
CGGCGGGCGGGCGCGGGCGGCCGGCACGGACCGGGUGUUAGACACACACACACAACACGGGCACCGGGUUGGCUGGGGCCCUUCAGUUUUGGGGCGCCACCGAGUUGGGGCUCAAGGGUCCCUAGGUAACCCCCUCUUGUCCCGAGGCUACUUCAUACCCCUCCACCGCUCCCGGGGACGAGACUCCUACCGAGGUCUCGGUGGGCUCAAGCCCACAACUUGGCGUUGCAGAAUAAAUGGAUGGCCAUGAUUCCGAGCCCGCCAUACCCUCUCUUCUGUCCCAUCUUUGUUUUAACCAAAAAACUCCGUGACUGUCGCUCCCUCCUCCCUGACUUCCCCCCUCCCCCAGUUGAAUGUUUUAUAUUCCCCGGUCAAAAGUCCAGAAGAACUUCUAACACUUUCUGGAUUUGAUUCCCUUCAACCCUCCUCCUCUCCCCCACCCCCAGAUCCAAAAUUGCGUUCUGAUCCUCAGAACCAAGUGCCUCUAGCACUUGAUGGGACUUCACGGGCUCCCGCAACCCGAGAAGGGAAACAAGCGUCCCCAGCGGAGGGGCUUGCUGGUGUUUCGUCUCUCAUGACACCUACAGGCAAGCUCAUCAGUCUCAAGAUGAUGUACCAGUCAGAGGUCUCACCCAGGACUGAGCACAUCCGCAGGGAGAAGCUCUGGAGCCAGCAGUGCUCUUUUUGUUCUGCAGCUGAAGAAACCAAGCCAAGGAUGACCAAUAGGCAGACUUCAGCAUGGAGACCGACCUCCAUCCAACUGAUGAAUGGGAGUCUACCAUCUGACGCUCUGCAUCCACAGACCCAGCUAUGGGUCCCUUUCCUAUUACACCAUUGACUUAAGGCCACAGGGAUCUGGUGCAAUAAGUCAUUUAUGAAAAUAUGUAAAUCAGAUAACGAAUAGAAUAUCAGGCUAAAGCUGGCUUCUGUUGCCAUGACACCUCACUCUCAUGGGCUUGAUCAGUGGCAUCAGGGUAACUGGACUUCACUGCUCUGGGACCUUAGGACAAUAUUCCCGCCCACCUCCUCUCAUGCCCCCUGGUGAAUCCAGAUGAAUUCUAGAAUGUGUUCCAGCCGCUGCUAGCUGGAGGGAAUCACCUCCGACUUAGGAAAGUAUUGAGAGCUAGGGACAGGGCAACCUCAGCUCCACAAAAGCCCACAAUUCCAUUGUCUGGGCAGAGACUGCAGGCCCUCCGUUUCUCCUCUGGGUUGUUGAGAGAAUGCCUGAGAGGAGGUGAGAGAUGGAGAGGAUGUGGAGGGGGAAUGAGCUCCCCAGCAGGGUUGGCUCCCUCUGUUGGGCCAUGUACCUGGGGCUACUCUGGUCAUGGGCAAGAAGCAGGAUGUAAGUCUCUCCUAACUCCCCUGAGAUCUCUGGGGCAGGGGUGGGGAGAGGGAAGGUGGUCUCACCAGUGAGAGCUGGCCUACCGUUGUA